UAGGGUGGUCUGGGACUUUAAGUACA
Molecule: non-coding RNA, 26 nt
Filed under: Homo sapiens (human)
Lineage: Eukaryota; Metazoa; Chordata; Mammalia; Primates; Hominidae
Source: RNAcentral